AUCAAAGUUUAUUCGAACAUCAACAAACAAAUUUCAGUGUCUCAUUUUUUUGUGUAACGUGGACACCAGAAGGACGGAGACUUAUGACUGGAGCCUCAAGUGGAGAGUUCUCUCUUUGGAACUAUUCUUUAAGCUCAUGGCUUUGCUGUGCAUGCGAUGGUAUGGUCUUACAUGGACACGUGGCUUGUGACAGUAGAUCACAGUGGAUUUGUGAAAUAC
Long non-coding RNA from Corticium candelabrum, 219 nucleotides. RefSeq lists it as uncharacterized. NCBI's taxonomy places the organism in Eukaryota, Metazoa, Porifera, Homoscleromorpha, Homosclerophorida, Plakinidae. The record is from RefSeq and is a predicted model, not a curated record. The transcript is spliced from 3 exons.